This 253-nucleotide ribosomal RNA is filed under the name uncultured bacterium. RNAcentral describes it as "partial 16S ribosomal RNA". It matches the Rfam family "Bacterial small subunit ribosomal RNA", at positions 524 to 776 of the family's 1533-position model. The record is from RNAcentral.
UACGGGGGGGGCAAGCGUUGUUCGGAAUUACUGGGCGUAAAGGGCUCGUAGGCGGCCAACUAAGUCGGAUGUGAAAUCCCCAGGCUUAACCUGGGAACUGCAUCCGAUACUGGAUGGCUUGAAUCCGGGAGAGGGAUGCAGAAUUCCAGGUGUAGCGGUGAAAUGCGCAGAUAUCAGGAGGAACACCGGUGGCGAAGGCGGGUCUCUGGGCAGUAACUGACGCUGAGGAGCGAAAGCGUGGGGAGCGAACAGG